UACGGAGGAUGCGAGCGUUAUCCGGAUUUAUUGGGUUUAAAGGGUGCGCAGGCGGCGUGUCAAGUCAGCGGUAAAAUGUCGGGGCUCAACCCCGGCCGGCCGUUGAAACUGGCGUGCUCGAGUUGGAGAGAAGUAUGCGGAAUUCGUGGUGUAGCGGUGAAAUGCAUAGAUAUCACGAAGAACCCCGAUUGCGAAGGCAGCAUACCGGCUCCACACUGACGCUGAGGCACGAAAGCGUGGGUAUCGAACAGGA
This 253-nucleotide ribosomal RNA is filed under the name uncultured bacterium. Its description in RNAcentral is "partial 16S ribosomal RNA". It matches the Rfam family "Bacterial small subunit ribosomal RNA", at positions 524 to 777 of the family's 1533-position model. The record is from RNAcentral.